GGGGGGGGGGGGGGGGGGGCGUGGCGCGUGGGGGGGGGGGGGGGAGGGCCUGCGUGUGGGGGGUGGGCGAGGGGCGCACGGGUGGGUGGCACGGGCGUGCGGGGGCCUUGGCUUGGGGGUAACUUCGGGAGCCUGGGGCUGGUCCCGGAUCGGAGCUCCUGCUGCAUGGUGUGGGGUGGACAGUUUCGGCGGUUGGGGCUGGACUCUCGGCUUCUCACAUUGUUGGUGGGGUAGUGGCUUACCAAGGCUUUGACGGGUAGCCGGCCUGAGAGGGUGACCGGCCACAUUGGGACUGAGAUACGGCCCAGACUCCUACGGGAGGCAGCAGUGGGGAAUAUUGCACAAUGGGCGGAAGCCUGAUGCAGCAACGCCGCGUGCGGGAUGACGGCCUUCGGGUUGUAAACCGCUUUCGCCUGUGACGAAGCGUGAGUGACGGUAAUGGGUAAAGAAGCACCGGCUAACUACGUG
RNAcentral lists this ribosomal RNA (468 nucleotides) under uncultured bacterium. RNAcentral's name for it is "partial 16S ribosomal RNA". It matches the Rfam family "Bacterial small subunit ribosomal RNA", at positions 38 to 507 of the family's 1533-position model. The record is from RNAcentral.